Long non-coding RNA from Macaca fascicularis (crab-eating macaque), 2000 nucleotides. NCBI's taxonomy places the organism in Eukaryota, Metazoa, Chordata, Mammalia, Primates, Cercopithecidae. The record is from Ensembl.
CUUGGGCACGGUUUCGAGGCGGGGUUCCGAGGAGCCGGGGGUGGGGCCAGCUUGGAGCGGAUACAGCAAAAAGGAGAGAGAGACACAGAGUAGACAGACACAAGGGAGAAGUCCGUGUGAAGAUGGAGACGGAGAUUGGAAUGAUACAGCCACAAGCCAAGAAACAUCUGCGGCCAUCAGCAGCUGGAAGAGCUCUCACCAGAGGCUGAGCAGAUGCUGAUGCCAUGCUUCUUGAUUUUCCCAGCCAACAGAAUUGUGAACUGAAUAAACCUCUCUUCUUUACAAAUUACCCAGUCUCAGGUAUCCUGUUAUGGCAACACAAAAUGGACUAAGACAGGAUGUCGCUAUCAAUCACGCUUCGACUGAGUACAGCCAAACCAGGAUACUCAGGGAAUUGGAACCUGUUAUCAGACUUCCAUUUAGUACAGACACAGCGCCAGGGGGCUGAGCAUUCUUCGGCAACACCCUUUGGACCCCUUCUCUACACCAAUGCUGUGUGACCUGAAGGGCUGGGGACAUGAAGGAGCAGCUCAGCUAAGGUGACCCAGAUGGUUGGGCUCGGAGCUGGAAGAACACUGUGGUCUCCUACCUCCCAAUUCCUGCAUCUGUCCUGCUUGUAAGAGGCUUGCCAAGAACAGGAGCUCUUGUUUGUAGGUCUCUAGGGAUGGCCACCGCAGGGAAUGUGAUUUGAAGAUGGGUUCGGGGUGACAUUACAGGCCCCCUUUAGGCUCUGCUGGUUGCAGGCCAGCUCUCUGGGGUGCCUUUCUGAUGGCUGCUAUUUUAAAGGCAGAUAGGAUGACAUUAACAACUUUUAUCAUUCAACUAGCAAGGGCUCAGGACGGGCAGCCCCCUUCUGGGAAUGUGCCUAACUCCUGCCCCAGAAUGGAGGAGUCUCUGUGGCUCUAGGGGAGCUGGCCUUCUGUGGAGUCUGAGCAAUGUACUGCACAGGGAGAAGACGCUGCCAGCUGAUACCAGUGUCUCUAUGCAGAGACAUUUCCAGGACACCACGUUAAGCAGCAGAGACACAAGAAGUCAAGGCCCAUGUGCUCUGGUGUGGACGUGUGCCUCCUGUGCCUCAGUGGCAUCAUCUGUACCAUGGGAGGUGUGUAAUGAGGGGUGCGAUCACGACUGCAAGUGCACGUACAUAGUAGAUGCCCAGGAAGUGCCAGUCCCCAUCUCCUUCCCAGUUUCUUCAGAGCCUUCUGGAAGGCACUGGCAUAGCCCAGUCCUGAGGCAUUGCUUUUUCUUUCAUGGAUGAUCAGGAGCUUCUGUGAUUUCUUCCCCCUCACUCUUCAUUUUGCCAAGAUGUCGCCCAUAGUAACCUCAGCAGUGGAGCGGGGAUUCUGCACUGUUCCACUGCCCGGGGCUGCACAUCCACGUGAGCGGGGCCGACCCGUCCCAGAACGCUUUGCCCUUGGAAGGCAGCAUCACCUGCAGGGGCAAUGCUGUGGACAGCUCUGGCAUGUCCUCCAGGGCCCUGGCAUGGUCAGUGAGAAAAGGCCCCCAGGCGUGGGCUUCUCCCAUCAGUCAGGUUCAGAAGGCUUCCUGGGGUAAGUAGAGACGCUCCCUACCCAACUGAGUUGUUAAAAUGACAGGAGGGAGAGGGGAAGGUCUGGGCCUGUGGCACUGUGAUUUUUUUUCUUUCUUUCUUUUUUUUUUUUUUGGAGACUCGUUGGGGUAGAAAUGAGGACAGGAAGAAGUACAAUCCGUCUGGGAUUGGUUUAUUUUUAUUGCUUUUUAAAAUCAUGUGACUAAUUGGUGUUCAUUGAAAAAGAGAAAACAAAAAUAAGCCAAGAGAAGACAGCAAAAAUAGUCUGUUAACAUCUUGGCAAAUAUCCUUUUUCUCUGCAUAGAAACAGAGAAUACUUUUGUUUCACUUAUAAAAUGUUUCUUGCUGUACACAGCUUUAUAACCUGCUUUUUUCUUAAUGGAACAAUAUACUAGGACAUGUUUUCAGGCCAACAGAUAAAUAUACUUCACUUGCAUUGAUGCUAUUGGCA